GGCCUGGCAUUUGUGAUAUAUUGUCAAAAGCUAAGUGUGAUAAAAGUGAGAUGUCACAUUCUAGAGUGACAUAACAUAGUGAGCAAAAACUAGAAUGGCGAAACAAAGUUUUCCCAACGUUGUAACCACCCACAAGACAACAUGGUCACAAAGUCAGCGGUCGAACGAGCAAACCACCAGCAACAACAUUGAACCCACUAACAUAGGAUAAAUGGAGCGUUCCACUGUCAAGGAGCUGCACCACUACCAGCCCCGAGCCAUCCACCACCCAACAUUAGGGUGGUCUUGCCCGUAGCGAGGUAAGAAUCCGUGACGAGGUGAGAAUGAUGGAGGGGAAAUUGCUGGAUCCAUUAGGGUGGUCUCACCUGUAUCAAGGUGAGAAUGACAAAAAGUAAGUACUUCUGAAUGUGAAUCCAACAUAAUUAAGUAUACCAGCAAGGGGUAAUUGUUGGUCAAAGCUCGCAUUGGCGAGGCGUAAUCUGCAAGGUAUUUCAGAACAGAGGGAGUAGUAAUGUUUCAUAACUUUCAAGCAGAAGAACCGUGGUCUGCUUUACAAGAAUGUUUUAUAUUCAGCUACUCCAGCGACAUAUAUUUCGGUAGAGAGGGAGUAUUUGUUAUCUUCUUGAGAGAAUAAAUCAUGAUACACGUGACAUCUUGAGCAAACACAUGAUUCAUUUUGCAGUACAUAUUUUUUCCGUUAUAUUUUGUAUCAGUCGAAUGUUCCGAGCUGUGUAGGCUAGGUAGUGUUACCCAAGGAUCAACUUACUAUUGAAACCAGACAGCACGCACCAGGUACAUGUACCCGAAAAUCGGCAUGUCGUCGGAGUUCAACCUAACUUGCGUGGCUUAGGUAGAAGUACCUGAAAUACUCAAAAAAUAAAACCGAUAAAAUGUGGUUCAAAGUUUUAAAUGGGGUAAAAUUGAUUAAAAUUGCUUAAAUGAGGUAACCCCUCUCAAAAAUGACAAAAGAUGGGAC
This 976-nucleotide long non-coding RNA is filed under the name Triticum aestivum (bread wheat). RNAcentral's name for it is "long non-coding RNA (TAES_LNC013471)". Lineage: Eukaryota; Viridiplantae; Streptophyta; Magnoliopsida; Poales; Poaceae. The record is from RNAcentral.